Molecule: ribosomal RNA, 238 nt
Filed under: uncultured bacterium
Lineage: Bacteria
Description: partial 16S ribosomal RNA
Rfam family: Bacterial small subunit ribosomal RNA
Source: RNAcentral
CACCUUUGACAUGUACGGAAUCCUUUAGAGAUAGAGGAGUGCUCGAAAGAGAACCGUAACACAGGUGCUGCAUGGCUGUCGUCAGCUCGUGUCGUGAGAUGUUGGGUUAAGUCCCGCAACGAGCGCAACCCUUGCCAUUAGUUGCUACGAAAGGGCACUCUAAUGGGACUGCCGGUGACAAACCGGAGGAAGGUGGGGAUGACGUCAAGUCCUCAUGGCCCUUAUAGGUGGGGCUACA